Molecule: long non-coding RNA, 7743 nt
Filed under: Homo sapiens (human)
Lineage: Eukaryota; Metazoa; Chordata; Mammalia; Primates; Hominidae
Description: HSALNT0218705
Source: RNAcentral
UGAUGUAGCCCUUAUCAGUGAAUCUCAGCAUCAGAAGCAGUAUCCUGAUAUCUUGGAGGGAAGAGAUGGUGUCCUGGUAUCCCAUACAUUCUGCCUACUCUAGGGAGACCCUCCGGAAACACUCAGCUGUUAGGUCUUAUUUUCUUUCUUGCAGUAAAAGGUUUCCUCUCUUUCACUCCUGAAUUCUCCUAGUCACAAGGAAGGACAGUUAUGUCCUGAGUGAUAAAGGAAAGCUGACAAGGGCCUUUAGUAAUCAUUUAUCUUCUGUUGCAGAAGAGAUUCUAUCUUUUUCACUGGGGACCCACCCUUCCAUGACUAUAUGAGAGCACCAUCUCCUACCUGCUAUCCCUGUUCUAGGCCAGCCACGACAGAAAGAGGAUUUUAUACAGAGAAAAUGCCUAUCUGUGCAACCAGGCAUUUCUCUCUUCGGUGUGGCGGUCAUUCACCGGGGGUGUCCGAGGGAAACCACUUUGGGGAUGAGACUCUGAACUAUGCUGAGAAGUUGUGGACUAAAUGGACAACUACUAUGGGUAAAAAAUGUUUUAGAGGUGGGACUCUAAGACCAGCUGAUAUGGUUUAGCUCUGUGUCCCCAUCCAAACCUCACCUUGUAGUGCCCAUAAUCCCCAUGUGUCAUGGGAGGGACCCAAUGGGAGGUAAAUGAAUCCUGGGGGCGGUUACCCUCAUGUUGUUCUCAUGAUAGUGAGUGACUGCUCAUGAGAUCUGUUGGCUUCAUAAGGGCUUUUCCCCCUUUUGCUCAGCACUUCUCCUUCCUGCCAGCAUGUGAAGAAGGAUGUGUUUGCUUCCCCUUCUGCCAUGAUUGUGAGUUUCCUUAGGCCUCACCAGCCCUGUGGAACUGUGAGUCAAUUAAACCUCUUGCCUUUAUAAAUUACCCAGUCUCAGGCAGUUCUCUAUAGCAGCGUGAGAAUGGACUGAUACACCAGGAAUAUGUCAACAAUAUUGAGUCUUACCUUUACAUCGAUAUCCUUGUUUGAUCACUCCCCAGAGCUAUGAAACAAGAGACAGAAUGCACCACAUGUCAUUCAUCCAUCUGGUGUGAGGCUACAAGCCCUGGAGCACCCUAAGAACAACUUACAAAUCCAGCACAGUUGUCACAAAAAGUGGGCUUCAGGUAGGUGGUCUCUUGGAAGUUGUGAGGAAAGCCCAGGCCCAGCUUGGAAUAGAUUGAGCUGGCUCUCAUGAAGUAGGCUGUGAUCUCAUCCCUGCUGAUGAGGCCUUCCCUGCCGGCAGAUGACCAAGGCAAGGAUGUGAGUAUAAGGGGCAUGGAGGCAGGUAGCAAGGGGGGGCUUCUAGCCUUAGAAACUCACCUUUCUUUUUAUCCUCAGUGGUAAUAUGGUAUGUGCUACCUCAUGAUUACUUCCAUGGGCCCUACUCUUAACAAGGAUACAAGAUGACAUGUGGUAAGUAGGUAAGGCAGCAUUACUCAUUUCCACAGAGGUGUUCUUUGGCCAAACUAGGUUUCCCUAACUAACUUGACCACUAUCUAUAAGACUUGAAAAAGAAACAAUGUAACAUGUACAUGUGUAUAGGGAGGGAAAUGUCUUAUGCUACAGUUUCUGACUUUAGACAGUACCUAACUGGAACCCACUAACCAUAUGAUUAGUUUCCUAUAGAGAACCAAGAUAGAAUUUAUUUAACCUUGAGAAAAGUAAAAAUGCAAAGUAUGAAUAAGUAUUAGUUGUUUCCCAAAAUCUGUAAUGACAAAGCAAGAAGGAAGACUAAACUUUUUCUUAUUUAUAGUUGACUAUUUAUAAAGUGGCAGAUUUAUGGAAUGUUCAAUUCAGUUUUUGUUUUUUUUUUUUUUGAGACAGGUUUUUGCUCUUGUGGCCCAGGCUGGAGUGCAGUGGCAUGAUCUCGGCUCACUGCAACCUCCGCCUCCUGGGUUCAAACAACUCUCCUGCCUCAGCCUCCCGAGUAGCUGGGAUUACAGGUGCCCACCACCACACCUGGCUAAUUUUUGUAUUUUUAGUAGAGACAGGGUUUCACCAUGUUGGCCAGGUUGGUCUCGAACUCCUGAGCUCAGGUGAUCUGCCCACCUCGGCCUCCCAAAGUGUUGGGAUUACAGGCGUGAGCCACUGUGCCCAGGCCCAGAAUAUUUUUAAAAGAAUGCAUAUUUCAUGGUCUGUUCUUUAAGUGAUCACAGCAGCAACAUAUCUGAGUUUUCAAAUUCUUCUAGUGACAUACCUAUAAACCUAUUCUCACCAAUGGGCUCAUAACCACAUAUUCCUAAGUACAAACCCUCACCUGUCUUUGUCCAUCACACAGAAGGAAAAUGGAAAACUCGCAGCAAUCUUUUCAAAUUCUUCCUGAGAAAUGUAUCCAUCCUGGUCGUGAUCAUAGUUCUUGAAGACAGACUGUGAAAAAGGAGUUUUUUUGGUGAUUACUAAAGAGAAACCGGUCUUCUCUCCCUUUAGUCAAAUGACAAAGAGCUGGGGCAGUUGGAUAAAAGCCUUUUAACAACCUGAACGAGAGGAACAGGGAAACCUGCUCCUUUAGCUGUGGCAAAGAUGUGGCAGGUCACAUCUCAGGCCUUUGCUGGUAGCAGCAUGUGGGGGGUGGCCAUGUACUUUGAAUCAUUAGCACGUCAAUUAUACUAUCACGCUGGCUACUCCUAGUUCACUGCGCAGAGGGAUGUUCUCCUUUCACUCUACCCUUUUUUUCAUCACUCAGCUCCAGUUGUACCUUCUUUGAGAAGCUUCUACAAACAGCCCAGUUGGAAGUGCUCUGUCCCCACUGUUAAUCCUCUUGUUUCUCACCGUUACGCUCUUAGUUUUCCAUUGUUACAUGUGAGUUGUCCACGAGGAUACAUGCAUAAGUAUGAGAAUAUAUACCCCUUCCUCAGCAAUUAGCACAGAGAAUUGAAUUAAGCAGUACAAAGGUUUUCAGUUUUAGGUUUACCUGAUUACCCCUUACUAUACUCAAAUGCAUCCCAAUACUUCUGUACUCCUAAAUCAACUGACAACCUUUAAGCAUAUGCUCUUUUGCUAGGUCUUGAAGAGGAGGCACAACUGCCUUCAUAUGAGUCCAGUGUGUGUUGUCAAAAUGUAACUUUUGAAUUGUUCUAAAGCCACAGUAAGAGAAGUAAGUGGUUCAAGUUUCGUGCCUUUACAUUUCCACCAUUGUGCUUUCCUCUCCCUUUACCCCACAUACAAAACUGAGCCAGGCAAUGCCUAGUUUUUGUGUGCUGAACACAGCUGUACUUACAUCCACCAUCCUCUGGACGUGUUUGCUAAUGGUUUUUGGAUCAGGUUUGGGAGACACUCCAGAAGCCCAGUCCACUACUACUGGUGGCUUUGAAGGUGUUAGUGGCUAAAAUGAAAUAUUUAGAGAAAUCCUCAUGACUACAAUGCAAUAUUAUAACCUAUAGCUCUUUCUUUUCCCACUACCUGACGGUUACAUUUAUGGACAAUCUUCAAUUAUGUUCAGUGGCAAGGAGCAGAGAACCCACAGGCAAUUGAAAUCUCUACUAAUAAUUUUGGCUAACAAGGCAUUGUGCUUACGGUUUCCAGAGUGCUCUUCACAUACAUUAUCUGCAGCUACAGAUAAUUUGAAAUUCUCAAUCUGCCUGAGUUGCAAUUCCCUCUCCAUUAAACCCUUUGUCAGAGCUAUCAACAAAGAGUAAAGUGGAUCAUUUAUGAUUCCUCUCUAUUCUCCAGUCACAUUUUGCAGUAGAAAUGUGAAUAAGGAAAAGCUUAGCUAAAAGGCAGGAAGGCACAAGAAAAAUCAUCGGAAGCCUGGACAAGCUCUUUUCUAAAUACAGUCAUGCAUCACUUAAUGACUGGGAUAUGUUCUGAGAAAUGUGUCAUGAGGUGAUUUUGUCAUUGUAUGAGCACCACAGUGUGUACUUACACAAACCUAGAUGGUAUAGCCUGCUACACACCUAGGCUAUUUGGUAUAGCCUACUGCUCCUAGGCUACAUACCUAUACAGCAGGUUAUUAUACUCAGUACUGUAGGCAAUUGUAAUGAUGGUAUUUGUGUAUCUUAACAUAUCUAAACAUAGAAAAGGUAAAAAUAUGGUAUAGAAAUUUUUUUUUAAUGUUACACCUGUAUAGGGCACUUAACCAUGAAUAGAGCUUUCAAGAUUAGAAAUUACUGUGGCAAGUCGUGAGUGGUGAGUGAAUGUGGAGGCCUAACAUUACUGUAUACUCCUAUAUACUUUAUAAAUACUGUACACUUAGACUACACUAAGUUUCUUAAAUUUUUUCUUCAAUGAUAAAUUACCUUAUUUUACUGUAAAAGCUUUUAAUUUUUUUAACUUUUACUCUUUUGUUAUGACACUUAGCUUAAAGCACACAUUGUAUAGCUUAUAGCUGUACCAGUUAUUUCCUUUAUAGCCAUAUUCUAUAAACUUUUUUCUAUUUUAAAAAUGUUUAAUUUUUUAAAUCUUUGUUAUAAACUAAGGUACAAUUACACUCAUUGGCCUAUGUCUAUAUAGAGUCAAGAUCAUCAAUAUCACUGUCUUCCACUCCACAUCUUAUCCUAUUGGAAGGUCUUUAGGGGCAAUAACAUGCAUGGAGCUGUCACCUUCUGGAGGACUUGCCUGAGGCUGUUUUACAGUUAAUUUUUCUAAGUAGAAGGAAUGCACUCUAAAAUAAUGAUAAAAAGUAUUGUAUAGUAAGUGCAUAAACCGGUAAUACUUACUAUCAAGUAUUAUGUACUGUACGUAAGUGUAUAACCUAGACUUUUUACAGCUCAGUAGGUUUGUUUACACCAGUAUAAUCACAGACAUAGUGAGUAAUGUGUUGUGCUACAAUGUUACAAUUGUUCUGUCACUAGGCAGUAGUAAUUUUUCUGCUCCAUUAUAAUCUUAAGGGACCACUGUGGUAUAUGAGGUCUAUCACUGACCAAAAUGUCAUUAUGUGGUGCAUGACUGUAUUUGAAACUCAGCCCAAAUUAAAAUCUCUCUGAAAAAACAGAAUGUACCCUUUCCAUUGAAAUGCCUCUAACCUGAAAAUGGAAUCUACCAAAUAUUUUCAGUGGAAUCUUUCAUUACAAUAGAAAGCUAGAACUUGAUCUUUCUGUGUGGAGGAGUGCAAUUUAGCCACCCCAAUAGAUGAGCUGGAUUUCUUAAGUGUGGGCAACUCUCUUCCCUUGAGUAUCACUUGUUUUGGGGUUUGGAAACGUCCCAGGAGACUGAAGUGAUUUUACUUGCCUGUGGGAGGGUAGGGCAGAUAACCUGUGAAGUUCCUACUGCAGGCAGUGCCAGGACUGUGUACUAUUUUGAGGACUUCUCAGCAUAGGAGGUCAAAAGACUCAGCAGACUGUUCUUUUCACCCAGAACAUUACAGGAAAAUGGGGCUUUUCUAUCUACCAACCUGGAAAUCUUCAGAAAUUUAGCUUCUGAUUAGUACGCAUAUUACUCUCAUUAUCAUCAAUGAAUCAUAGAAAAGAAAUUUAUGUGGGGACUCUUCUUAAUGCGGGGGGGAUGUCACUCUGGUGCACAAUAGUAUCUUCCUUCUCUACUUUGUAAACCACUGACUGAUUCCACCACACCUGGCAUUCUGAUGAUAUAGUUAUUUACUGUUCACUAGUUAUUCACUGGUCACACAUUAGGCUUAUCCCUUCAACUAUAUCACAGCUUUUUAAUGGACAGGAACUAUUCCUCAGACAUAUGUUGAAAAGCUUUCUCUGUUCCUAGCAUAAGGUUGAGCACUAAGAAAAACAGUACAUGUAUUAAACUGAACUGAAAGUCUGUUCCUGAGGAUGAAUGAACUCGAGGAGAAGCUUGUAAAGCACCUGUUACAUGUGGAGUCUUAAUAUGAAAAACUCACUGGAGCUCUGUGGUUCCUUGGUUCCCGGGCAUAGGAAAGCUCAUAGAUUUCAUCCUCAGUGUAGUAAAGAUCCAGGGAUAACUGCAGAUCAAAGCAGAACAGGGUUCAUUGCUAAGAUGCUGUUUGCCUCUCCCACAGCUGAUGGUUCUUUCUUGGAUUUUCCUUGCCAGUAGUUUACUCUUUUAGGUUCUAAACAGUUUGUUUUUAAAAGUCACAAAACAGGUAUAACACCUACUAUUGCAAUAGGGCAAGCAUUAAUUCUCAUUGAAAUGUUUUUAAUUUUGGACAUAGGAUGCCCUCUUUUUAACUAUGAUUUAAAUCUAAGCCUCUAUAUAGAGCUUAGGCCAAAGGCCUUGUCUGGACAGAUGACUAAUACAUCACUUGUUCUCUCUCAAAGCAGACAGAUGAUCUGAAAGGAUGGUGUGUAUAGUCUGAGACUAUUAAAUUUGAGUCCAGCAAUAAAAUCCAGUUUAAAUGGUAAGACAUAUUAAUUGCUAUUAAGAGUUAAUGAGUCUGGGUGCAUGGUGGCUCAUGCCUGUAUUCCCAGCAUUUUGGGAGGCCAGGGCAGGUUGAUUGCUUGAGCUCAGGAGUUUGAGACCAGCCUGGGCAACAUAGCAAAACCCUGUCUCUACAAAAAAUACAAAAGUUAACCGGGCGUGGUGGCGUGUGCCCGUGGUCCCAGCUACUCAGGAGGCUGAGGUGGGAGGAUGGCUUGGACCUGGAAGAUAGAGGUUGCAGUGAGCUGAGAUUGCACUACUGCACUCCAGUCUAGGUCAUAGAGCCAGACCUUGUCUCCAAAAAAAAAAAAAAAAAAAAAAAUAGUGAGUUUCAUGUAUCUUAGAACUAUAAAAUUUUAGGAGAGAAGUCCUUAGGAAUAAUAUUAUUCUUAACCUUGAGUCUAUGGAUAGGCUUCAAGGAUUUCAGAACUUGAAAUUACAUGCAUAUUUAAAAAUAAAUGGCUUAUGUACAUUUUUCUGGGAAGAAGGUUCACAGCUUUCAUCACAAGAUUUAUAAUCCAAAGAAUGUUAAGAUUCACUCCAUGUUUUUACAAAUGAUGUCUGAGACACAGACCUGCCAAGGUCACCUGGCUAAUAAGUGAAAGGGCUAGGAUCACACACCAGCUGAUGUGAAGCCCAGGGUUCUAUCAAAAUGCUGCUGUGAGGCAGAAAGAGGUUAUGAUCAUUAUUCUACUCUCCAAAAACAGCAGGUUAAAAACUGUGUAACUUUAGAACUGGAAGAGAAGUUCGAAGUCAUCCCAGAGACUAAUUCGUUUGAGGAGAGGAAUCUUGGACGGUUAUAUGUCCAUAGUCACACAGCUGGUAAACUACGGAAUUGCAGGUCUGGAAGGGAGUUCAUCAUCUGAUCUCACCCCAUAUGCAAAAUGCAAAUCCUGGUCUCCCACACCAUUGACAAGUGUUCAUCUUCACUUGAAUAUCUCCAAGAGCAAAGAUCUAAGCCAGGAACCAAAUAAUAACCCUGGGUGUUUUUUGUUUGUUUUUUAAAUUACUGCCUGCCCUUUUUAUGAGAGCACAUUCAUUCUCUCCAUCUGUUACCAAGACUUGUAUCCUGAUUUGCCAUCAGCUCCUCCCAGAGAGCUUAGGACUGCUUUUGUAGAGGUAGUGAAACAGUCCUAGAAGUCUGAAGGGCACAGUCUCUAGAGUCCCACCACCUGGGUCUGAAUCAAGGCUCUGCUACUUAAUAAUGUGUGGUCUCCUGGCAAGGUAUAUCUUUGUGCUUUAGUAUCCCUAGCUAUAUGUUGGAGAUAGUAAUAGGAUCUGCUUCAUAGAGCCUUUAUGAGGACUAACAGCUAAUAUUUGGUAAGGGGUAUAGAAUGGCACCUGGCACACAGAAAGUGCUUAGUAAUUGUCCUCCAGUGUGAGCCUCACCGUCAGCAAGUGUACCAAGUCCUUGUUAGCCUCCAAGGGUGGGGCCACCUCUUGCAGCUGGACCAA